RNAcentral lists this ribosomal RNA (253 nucleotides) under uncultured bacterium. RNAcentral describes it as "partial 16S ribosomal RNA". It matches the Rfam family "Bacterial small subunit ribosomal RNA", at positions 524 to 776 of the family's 1533-position model. The record is from RNAcentral.
GACGAGGGGUCCUAGCGUUGUUCGGAAUAAUUGGGCGUAAAGCGUAGGUAGGCGGCUAUUCAAGUCAGUUGUGAAAGCCCCGGGCUCAACCCGGGAAGUGCUUCUGAUACUGUUUAGCUUGAGUACUAGAGAGGGCAGUAGAAUUCCAGGUGUAGUGGUGAAAUACGUAGAUAUCUGGAGGAAUACCGGUGGCGAAGGCGGCUGCCUGGCUAUGUACUGACGCUGAGCUACGAAAGCGUGGGGAGCAAACAGG